RNAcentral lists this ribosomal RNA (123 nucleotides) under Cronobacter sakazakii. RNAcentral's name for it is "partial 16S ribosomal RNA". It matches the Rfam family "Bacterial small subunit ribosomal RNA", at positions 1 to 114 of the family's 1533-position model. Lineage: Bacteria; Pseudomonadati; Pseudomonadota; Gammaproteobacteria; Enterobacterales; Enterobacteriaceae. The record is from RNAcentral.
UUUAAUUGAAGAGUUUGAUCAUGGCUCAGAUUGAACGCUGGCGGCAGGCCUAACACAUGCAAGUCGAACGGUAACAGGGAGCAGCUUGCUGCUCUGCUGACGAGUGGCGGACGGGGGGGUAAA